This 433-nucleotide ribosomal RNA is filed under the name uncultured bacterium. Its description in RNAcentral is "bacterial SSU rRNA". It matches the Rfam family "Bacterial small subunit ribosomal RNA", at positions 29 to 506 of the family's 1533-position model. The record is from RNAcentral.
ACGAACGCUGGCGGCAGGCCUAACACAUGCAAGUCGAACGCUCGUAGCAAUACGAGAGUGGCAGACGGGUGAGUAACGCGUGGGAACCUUCUCAGUGGUACGGAAUAGCCCAGGGAAACUUGGAGUAAUACCGUAUACGCCCGAAAGGGGAAAGAUUUAUCGCCAUUGGAUGAGCCCGCGUCGGAUUAGCUAGUUGGUGAGGUAAUGGCUCACCAAGGCGACGAUCCGUAGCUGGUCUGAGAGGAUGAUCAGCCACACUGGGACUGAGACACGGCCCAGACUCCUACGGGAGGCAGCAGUGGGGAAUAUUGGACAAUGGGCGAAAGCCUGAUCCAGCCAUGCCGCGUGAGUGACGAAGGCCUUAGGGUUGUAAAGCUCUUUUGUCGGGGACGAUAAUGACGGUACCCGAAGAAUAAGCUCCGGCUAACUUCGU